CUGACUUGGACGACGCACAAAGCAAGAACAAAACUGGACUGGACGGAGAGCAUCAUCCAUCAUGGGCAGGCACGCCGCCGCCGCCUCCGCAUCUGUUUGUCGGCCACGCUGCACGCCGUCGCCGUGUCGGACGGGACGGGAGCAUCAGGCGGCGCAGAGCAGUUUCCUCUUUCCCCUUCUUCUUCAACUCUCCUCUUCCUCCUCACGCACCUGCUUCAUCAACUACAUACAUAUAUAUACAGGCAGCAUUACCAUGGAUCCUCCAUGGCUGCUCUUGAUUAUGUCCUCAGGACUCAGGUGACGUAUCUGGUAAUACCCUAG
RNAcentral lists this unclassified non-coding RNA (321 nucleotides) under Zea mays. RNAcentral's name for it is "misc RNA Zm00001eb345520". The record is from RNAcentral. Lineage: Eukaryota; Viridiplantae; Streptophyta; Magnoliopsida; Poales; Poaceae.